This 76-nucleotide transfer RNA is filed under the name Actinomycetota bacterium. Its description in RNAcentral is "Actinobacteria bacterium (freshwater metagenome) tRNA-Thr". It matches the Rfam family "tRNA". Rfam says of the family: Transfer RNA (tRNA) molecules are approximately 80 nucleotides in length. Their secondary structure includes four short double-helical elements and three loops (D, anti-codon, and T loops). The record is from RNAcentral. Lineage: Bacteria; Bacillati; Actinomycetota.
GCCCGGGUAGCUCAGUCGGUAGAGCAACGCACUCGUAAUGCGUAGGUCGCGGGUUCGAUUCCCGCCUCGGGCUCCA